GCCAAGUCCAAGAACCACACCACACACAACUGGUCCCGAAUAUGGCACAGAAAUUGCCUCAAGAAACCCCAAUCACAAAGAUACGAAUCUCUUAAGGGGUGGACCCCAAGUUCCUGAGGAACAUGCGCUUUGCCAAGAAGCACAACAAGAAGGGCCUAAAGAAGAUGCAGGCCAACAAUGCCAAGGCCAUGAGUGCACGUGCAAAGGCUAUCAAGGCCCUGGUAAAGCCCAAGGAAGUUAAGCCCAAGAUCCCAAAGGGUGUCAGCCACAAGCUCCAUCGACUUGCCCACAUUGCCCACUCCAAGCUUGGGAAGCAUGAUCAUGCCCACAUUGCCAAAGGGCUCAGGCUGUGUGGGCCAAAGGCCAAGACCAAGGAUCAAACCAAGGCCCAGCCUGCAGCUCCAGCUUCAAUUCCAGCUCAGGCUCCCAAAGGCGCCCAGGCCACUACAAAGGGUUC
RNAcentral lists this long non-coding RNA (457 nucleotides) under Homo sapiens (human). RNAcentral's name for it is "non-protein coding lnc-ACADM-1:1". Lineage: Eukaryota; Metazoa; Chordata; Mammalia; Primates; Hominidae. The record is from RNAcentral.